This 213-nucleotide long non-coding RNA is filed under the name Homo sapiens (human). Its description in RNAcentral is "HSALNT0009704". Lineage: Eukaryota; Metazoa; Chordata; Mammalia; Primates; Hominidae. The record is from RNAcentral.
CGGAAAGUUAAACAAGGAUCAUUUCCAGUUUCACCGCAUUAUCCUGGGACACUCUGCACAGAAUAUCUUCUUUAAUCAGGACAUAUUUAAUCAGCAGAUCUACCACUAACCACUGGCUAUUGUUCUCUCUGAUAGGAGUAUACUGAAGCAUGGAAAAACAGAAAUACAGACUUUAUUUACCUACUUUUGAAACUCCACAGCUCCUGAGUUAAC